UAGUGAUCCGGUGGUUCUGAAUGGAAGGGCCAUCGCUCAACGGAUAAAAGGUACUCCGGGGAUAACAGGCUGAUACCGCCCAAGAGUUCAUAUCGACGGCGGUGUUUGGCACCUCGAUGUCGGCUCAUCACAUCCUGGGGCUGAAGUAGGUCCCAAGGGUAUGGCUGUUCGCCAUUUAAAGUGGUACGCGAGCUGGGUUUAGAACGUCGUGAGACAGUUCGGUCCCUAUCUGCCGUGGGCGCUGGAGAAUUGAGGGGGGCUGCUCCUAGUACGAGAGGACCGGAGUGGACGCAUCACUGGUGUUCGGGUUGUCAUGCCAAUGGCAUUGCCCGGUAGCUAAAUGCGGAAGAGAUAAGUGCUGAAAGCAUCUAAGCACGAAACUUGCCCCGAGAUGAGUUCUCCCUGAGACUUUAAGUCUCCUGAAGGAACGUUGAAGACGACGACGUUGAUAGGUCGGGUGUGUAAGUGUAGCGAUACAUUGAGCUAACCGAUACUAAUGAACCGUGAGGCUUAACCUUACAACGCCGAAG
RNAcentral lists this ribosomal RNA (530 nucleotides) under Enterobacteriaceae bacterium TzEc058. Its description in RNAcentral is "partial 23S ribosomal RNA". It matches the Rfam family "Bacterial large subunit ribosomal RNA", at positions 2413 to 2925 of the family's 2925-position model. The record is from RNAcentral. Lineage: Bacteria; Pseudomonadati; Pseudomonadota; Gammaproteobacteria; Enterobacterales; Enterobacteriaceae.